CCUUACCUGGCCUUGACAUCCAGAGAACUUUCCAGAGAUGGAUUGGUGCCUUCGGGAACUCUGAGACAGGUGCUGCAUGGCCGUCGUCAGCUCGUGUCGUGAGAUGUUGGGUUAAGUCCCGUAACGAGCGCAACCCCUAUCCCUGGUUGCUAGCAGGUAAUGCUGAGAACUCCAGGGAGACUGCCGGUGACAAACCGGAGGAAGGUGGGGAUGACGUCAGGUCAUCAUGGCCCUUACGGCCAGGGCUACACACGUGCUACAAUGGCGCGUACAGAGGGCUGCCAACUCGCGAGAGUGAGCCAAUCCCUUAAAACGCGUCGUAGUCCGGAUCGGAGUCUGCAACUCGACUCCGUGAAGUCGGAAUCGCUAGUAAUCGCGAAUCAGAAUGUCGCGGUGAAUACGUUCCC
Molecule: ribosomal RNA, 407 nt
Filed under: uncultured bacterium
Lineage: Bacteria
Description: bacterial SSU rRNA
Rfam family: Bacterial small subunit ribosomal RNA
Source: RNAcentral